Molecule: ribosomal RNA, 321 nt
Filed under: uncultured eukaryote
Lineage: Eukaryota
Description: partial 18S ribosomal RNA
Rfam family: Eukaryotic small subunit ribosomal RNA
Source: RNAcentral
CCCUUAGACGUUCUGGGCCGCACGCGCGCUACACUGACCAGUGCAACAAGCAUCCGUCCUUGGCCGACAGGCUCGGGCAAUCUUUGAACGCUGGUCGUGAUGGGGAUAGACUUUUGCAAUUAUGGGUCUUCAACGAGGAAUUCCUAGUAAACGCAAGUCAUCAGCUUGCAUUGAUUACGUCCCUGCCCUUUGUACACACCGCCCGUCGCACCUACCGAUUGAAUGGUCCGGUGAAAUCUCGGGACGGCGGCUUGGUCGCUUGCGUCCGACUGCUGAAACUUGAUUAAACCAUAUCAUUUAGAGGAAGGUGAAGUCGUAACA